ACCUGGUUAGUUCAGUCUGUAGGGCAUGAGACUCUUGAUCUCAGGGUCAUGAGUUCGAGCCUCAUGUUGGGCA
RNAcentral lists this transfer RNA (73 nucleotides) under Ailuropoda melanoleuca (giant panda). It matches the Rfam family "tRNA". Rfam says of the family: Transfer RNA (tRNA) molecules are approximately 80 nucleotides in length. Their secondary structure includes four short double-helical elements and three loops (D, anti-codon, and T loops). The record is from Rfam by way of RNAcentral. Lineage: Eukaryota; Metazoa; Chordata; Mammalia; Carnivora; Ursidae.